RNAcentral lists this ribosomal RNA (456 nucleotides) under uncultured Thauera sp. RNAcentral describes it as "bacterial SSU rRNA". It matches the Rfam family "Bacterial small subunit ribosomal RNA", at positions 923 to 1382 of the family's 1533-position model. Lineage: Bacteria; Pseudomonadati; Pseudomonadota; Betaproteobacteria; Rhodocyclales; Zoogloeaceae. The record is from RNAcentral.
ACACAAGCGGUGGAUGAUGUGGAUUAAUUCGAUGCAACGCGAAAACCUUACCUACCCUUGACAUGUCUGGAACCUUGGUGAGAGCCGAGGUGCCUUCGGGAGCCAGAACACAGGUGCUGCAUGGCUGUCGUCAGCUCGUGUCGUGAGAUGUUGGGUUAAGUCCCGCAACGAGCGCAACCCUUGUCAUUAGUUGCCAUCAUUUGGUUGGGCACUCUAAUGAGACUGCCGGUGACAAACCGGAGGAAGGUGGGGAUGACGUCAAGUCCUCAUGGCCCUUAUGGGUAGGGCUUCACACGUCAUACAAUGGUCGGUACAGAGGGUUGCCAACCCGCGAGGGGGAGCUAAUCCCACAAAGCCGAUCGUAGUCCGGAUCGCAGUCUGCAACUCGACUGCGUGAAGUCGGAAUCGCUAGUAAUCGUGGAUCAGCAUGUCACGGUGAAUACGUCCCCGGGUCUU